This 1091-nucleotide long non-coding RNA is filed under the name Mytilus galloprovincialis (Mediterranean mussel). Lineage: Eukaryota; Metazoa; Mollusca; Bivalvia; Mytilida; Mytilidae. The record is from RNAcentral.
AACAGAGUAACUAUUUAUAGUGAAUGGGAUUAACAAAAAGAGUGCAUGUCUCAACAUGAAUUUAAUCAUGAUAAGUAAAGCAGGCGAGACAUUUCAUCUUGUGAAUUCUUGUGAAAAUAGGCACAAAAAUGGCAGGUAAAAAAAGCUGCAUUUAUUUCGCAAGUUUGAUAAUGGUAACUUUCUUAAUAUAAACCUGGUUUGCUGUCAUUUCUUUUAUGAUAUUAUUGAUCAUCUUGCUGCCAUUAGAUAUCCUAUUCAAAAGCAUCCGUGUUCUGCUAAAUUGAUUAUGUUUUCUCACUAAUUGUUGAAAAUUUGGUGACAAUGUUGAAAUCAUCUAUCUCAACGAAAUUGAAUGCAUGUUACCACAAUAACAAUUAAGUAUGUCUCAUAUUUUGACACACAUCUAGAAAAGGUCAAUAAGUGUCGGUUGAGAACUAAACUUUACGACAGGAGAGCUGAUCUCAUGUUCCAAAGUAUAUAGCAACAUUCCAGCAGCGCCUACAUAUGGAAUCUACAUCCCUAAGUUGUUACCAUAUUACAGAGCUUGAUUUGUAUCUUUGAUAGUGGGUAACUGCUUACAAAGAAUGGUUUCAAUGGUUCCAGUUGAAGUAAUUCCUUAGAAAAUUUAACCGGCAAUCAUGAUUUGGUUGUCCGUUAUUGGGAAUCUGUUUCACAGAUGACAAUUAUGUUUCAAUUGUCGACACCACAAUCACCCUUUCUCUUCGAAACGGUGAGACUUGUAACCAAAUUUGUACUAGCAUGAAUAACUGAAGGAUGCCACAAGUCAUGUAGGGCAAAAUCGUUUUAUUUUUGCAAUGCCGUUGUCAGAUUGUCUUUGAAUCAUGGGUUUGAAUAUCACCACAGUAUCUUCCUCCUCCCCUUAAUUGUUUUCUCGUUCUUGUUACGAAAGUAUUUUAACACUAGAACAAGAUUUGUCUGACAGUCCCACUUCAUGAUAUAAUUCAAGUGAACAAAUAUAGAAUGUGCAUCGAUUAUAGACGACUAAAUCAAUAAACAAUAAAAGAUUCACUACCUGUACCCAAAAAAUUUGGCACUUUCACUUAUAAUAAUGUAUCAUGCCAUAUGCAGUU